GCUCCCUUCGUCUAGCGGCCUAGGACGUCGCCCUCUCACGGCGAAAACAGGGGUUCGAGUCCCCUAGGGAGCGCCA
RNAcentral lists this transfer RNA (76 nucleotides) under Alphaproteobacteria bacterium. Its description in RNAcentral is "tRNA-Glu". It matches the Rfam family "tRNA". From Rfam's summary of the family: Transfer RNA (tRNA) molecules are approximately 80 nucleotides in length. Their secondary structure includes four short double-helical elements and three loops (D, anti-codon, and T loops). The record is from RNAcentral. RNAcentral also lists the same sequence under 10 other names. Lineage: Bacteria; Pseudomonadati; Pseudomonadota; Alphaproteobacteria.